This 285-nucleotide RNase P RNA is filed under the name Mesomycoplasma lagogenitalium. RNAcentral's name for it is "RNase P RNA component class B". It matches the Rfam family "Bacterial RNase P class B". Rfam says of the family: Ribonuclease P (RNase P) is a ubiquitous endoribonuclease, found in archaea, bacteria and eukarya as well as chloroplasts and mitochondria. Its best characterised activity is the generation of mature 5'-ends of tRNAs by cleaving the 5'-leader elements of precursor-tRNAs. Lineage: Bacteria; Bacillati; Mycoplasmatota; Mycoplasmoidales; Metamycoplasmataceae. The record is from RNAcentral.
UACAUCGGUCAAUUGCUAUUUGAAAAAAUAGAGGAAAGUCCGCGCUAGCACUAUCUGCGAUUGAUAGUAGUGUUCAUGUUGGAUCUAAUAAAUCCAAGCCCAGACGACUAGUGCCACAGAGACGAGCUUAUUAAAUUAAGGUGAAACGCGGUAAACUCCAUGAGCUAGAAACCCAAAUUAAGGUAGGGGAAUUUGCUUUUAAAAAAUGAAUUAAAAGCAAAAGAUGUAAAAAUCUAGAUAAAUAAUUGACACUUUUUUAUAAAGGACAGAACGCGGCUUAUAGAU